CAGUACUGACUGCUUUUGUAGUCUCAUACUCUCAACCACUGUGCAUUGUUUCGUGGCGCUCGCGUCACCACAUUUCACCACUGAUUGAGUACACACAUACAUAUAAUACGCAUA
Molecule: unclassified non-coding RNA, 114 nt
Filed under: soil metagenome
Description: partial internal transcribed spacer 1
Source: RNAcentral